GUGCUGGCUUCAGCAGCACAUAUACUAAAAUUGGAAUGAUAAAGAGAUUAGCGUGGCCCCUGGGCAAGGAUGACACGCUUGAUUUGUUUUCAAGAGAAAUUCUG
Molecule: small nuclear RNA, 104 nt
Organism: Callithrix jacchus (white-tufted-ear marmoset)
Lineage: Eukaryota; Metazoa; Chordata; Mammalia; Primates; Cebidae
Source: Ensembl